RNAcentral lists this ribosomal RNA (253 nucleotides) under uncultured bacterium. Its description in RNAcentral is "partial 16S ribosomal RNA". It matches the Rfam family "Bacterial small subunit ribosomal RNA", at positions 524 to 776 of the family's 1533-position model. The record is from RNAcentral.
GACAGAGGUGCCAAGCGUUAGGCGGAAUCACUGGGCUUAAAGCGUGUGUAGGCGGAUGUCUAAGUUCCUUGUGAAAUCCCACGGCUCAACCGUGGAACUGCUUGGUAUACUGGAUGUCUUGAGCCAUCUAGGGGCUACCGGAACAAAUGGUGGAGCGGUGAAAUGCGUAGAUAUCAUUUGGAACGCCAAUGGUGAAAACAGGUAGCUGGGGAUGUGCUGACGCUGAUGCGCGAAAGCGUGGGGAGCAAACGGG